CUCAUUCAUUCACUGCCUCUCACAGGCAACACAUCACAGUUCGUCCAGGUCCAGAUACAGCUUCAAGUCCCAAGCAAAUCCAAAUAGAAGAUACAAUGGUAACAGAUCAGGAUCAAGGGACUAACUCUCUCUAUUUGUGGGCAAUCUGUGCCUGGGUCCUGGACGGGUGGAUGAGUCUAUCCCCUAACAUCUUGCCAUACCAACAAACUCGAAAGACCCUAUAAUAAUCGCAGAAUGUAAUAUGGUCCACCUUAGAUGAAUACUUAAGUCGCCACAUCCUGCCCAAAGCUUCAUCCAGCAACUGAAGAUGGAGAUGAAGCACCAGAAGGCAUCAGGUACUUAAGUUCAGUUCAUUGUAACGUGUGAACUGACGUAUUCAUCAGACUAAAGGCAAAAACUAAUGAGUUUAAUAACGUUAUAUAUAUUUUCAUCUGUUGUACUAUUGACAUUUAAAUAGUGCUAAAAGAUGGAUGCCAUCAAAGUUUUCUUGGGACCAUAGUUAUUACCUUACUUCAAGUUGAAGCCAUUUAUUUUAUUUGUGUGAUUAAAAUUAUAGUAGGAGCAUUUUAUUGAUAAAAGUUCAAUUCCUGAAUAACCGAGAAGUCUUUAAAUGUAAUGUAUGUUUGGGGUUCUAAAAAAAAAUGAGGCAUUGCUUGUCCAAAUAAGGACCCCACAUUCAUAGUUUUUUUUUGUUUGUACUCUUUUGUUUCAACUUUUGCUAAUAAAGAUGAAACCGCCUAAUUACUAACAACAAUUAGACAAAUUAGAAACAAAGGUACAAAUAAAAUAAAACAAUGGAUGUACCCAGUCUUUAGUUGUACAGUCAAUUUCUCAAUUUUUUGUAGAACCCCAACAAGCAUUAUAUUUGAGGAUUUGUUCGGUGAAAUUGAACUAAUCAAUAAAAAAAUCCCUAUAUUUAUCAUACAAAUAAGUCAAAUAAAUUUAUUGAUAAAAGUUCAAUUCUGAAUAACCAAGAAGUCUUUAAAUAUAAUGUGUUUGAGGUUCUAAAAAAAAAUGAGGCAUUGCUUGUCCAAAUAAGGAACCCCCACAUUCAUAGUUUUUUUUUUAUUUGUACUUUUUUGUUUCAACUUUUGCUAAUAAAGAUGAAACCGCCUAAUUACUAACAACAAUUAGACAAAUUAGAAACAAAGGUACAAACAAAAUAAAACAAUGGAUGUACCCAGUCUUUAGUUGUACAGUCAAUUUCUCAAUUUUUUAUAGAACCCCAACAAGCAUUAUAUUUGAAGAUUUGUUGGGUGAGGAAGAUGAACUAGUCAAUAAAAAAUCCAUACAUUGAUACACAAAUAAGUCAAAUUAAGUGGUUCUAAGUUUCAAGACUGACAACGACAAUUUGGUCACAAACACAUCUCGAUGGUAUCGAUCUUUUGGCACUAAUUUCAUGUGAAUAGACAGCAAAUGAAAAUGUAUAUAGCGUUAUUAGACCCACGGUGGGCCAGCCUGAGUAAAUAAUCAAGUGUUGGGGGAUCAGCCAAUGGAGAAAUAAUUUAGCAUUUGGACGAAUUUGUGUGUAAUGCAGUGUGAGUCCGGAAGGGCGCUAUGAACGUCAUAAGUACAUUAUGUACGUGAAAAUGUACUGUUACCAAUAUGAAAUACAUUUGACGUCUGCGGCGUCCUUCCCGACUCACCCUGUAUAUAUAUAUUUUAUAUAUAUUAAAAGAAUGUGUAAUCAUCAAAUUACAUGUUUAAAAUGUAAAAACGAACGAGAAAUAAAUGGCAUCAUUAAACUUGUUUGGAAGAUGCUCAAUUUAUAUGUAGAAAUGAUUUACAAUUUAUAAAUAAAUUAUAUAUAAAAAUUUAAA
Molecule: long non-coding RNA, 1820 nt
Organism: Aethina tumida (small hive beetle)
Lineage: Eukaryota; Metazoa; Arthropoda; Insecta; Coleoptera; Nitidulidae
Exons: 3
Source: RefSeq, a predicted model, not a curated record